RNAcentral lists this long non-coding RNA (1357 nucleotides) under Anser brachyrhynchus (Pink-footed goose). RNAcentral describes it as "lncRNA (ENSABRG00000013036.1)". Lineage: Eukaryota; Metazoa; Chordata; Aves; Anseriformes; Anatidae. The record is from RNAcentral.
UUUUUUCUUGUUGCUUGUAUGUUCUGCUAUUUUCUAGUGCUGAAUUCAGCACUUAGCCCAAUUUUGACUUUGUGCAGCUCAGAGACCACCCAUGUAACCAGAGAAUACCUCGUUGUGCCAAUCUUGAUGGUUGAAACAGACAUGAAGGGCAUCAGUCAGUUUCUAGAACAAGAAAUGCUAAACUCAGUGAGACCAGUUUAUUCUUCUGAUUACUUUGCUAAUUCCAAUGAGCUGAAUAAGGUUCAAUAGUCUUAGCAUUAUCAAAAACAAAAAUAAAGGGGGAGGGGGGGGAGGGUGUCAUUAAGCAGAGGAUACAUCUACUUGCAGAGGUAGCCAAAACACCUGUUACAUACAGAUAGAAAAACACAAGCUUUUGACCAUACAUUCCUUUAAUACAAAAACACAAACUGUGUUUUGCUAUAUCCAGUGACCACCAUACUCACCAAAAAUGUACUACUUAAAUAUUAUUACUGCUUAAAUAUUAUUCUUUUUUAGAAGAAGAAAGAAAAUUAUCUACUAAUCUAAAAUGCAAUGUUUUUGGAAAAAUGUGUCAUUUUUCUAAGAUUGCAAAAUGAAUCCUGAAGGGAUUUAUUCCACAUGUGAAUUGUUGGAUAGAGCAAGUCUUUUCUUCCUCGAAUUUUCCUAGGGAUUUUAAAAAUUACAUUAAAAAAGCACAGAAUUUUAAAGUAAAUUCUCCAUAAAUGUAGUGCAAAGCUCCUAACAAGCACAGUCUUUGUGGGAUUGAGAUCUAAAGACAUAGUAAUUGCAUCAAACUACAACCUGGAGAACUGAAGCAUUGUGUAUGAAGGCAAGGAAAAGAAAGCAAAUUAUGUUAGCAGUGCUAGACACUGCUGCACAUGGAUGGGAGCUAGGGGAGAGGAAGAACAGGAGCAGUGCUUUGAAUCAGCUAGAAUUGAUUGCAUGUAGAGCUAUCAGGACUUUCCCAGUGUCUACAGAUGUGCAGCAAACCAAAUCACCAGAAUAUGAUUAUUUUUGUCCUAUCCAAGUUUAUCAUUUGAGAAAACAAAGGAGAAGAAGAACAGAAAUGUUAAGCUUUAAUCAGCAAUUGGCUGAGGAAAACUCCAUGGGAAACAGAAGUAGAAGGGCUCAUUAAAUUAUAUGAGGAGCAUUCUGCACAUUCAACUGAUGGUGAAAGAUUCUCUGUCCUCCGUUGCCCAGACAGAUGAAUAAUGAUUAAUGAAAAAUGAAUAUAGAUGGUCUUCGAAAGUAAAGUGCAUUUACUGGCCAAUCAAGUAAGCUGGGUUAUUAUUAAAACUUCAUUUAAAACUUUAAAAUCUUCCUAGGUUAGUUUUUCACAUGGGCCAGGAAAUAUGAAAUAAGUAAAACAUGUUCCCAU